UGCUAAUUUGUUGAGGUGGCUAAGCGGGAGAUGCUCACUUCUUGGUGUAAGUGAAUGUUACGUGCCUUUAUCUUACACACUCCCUAUUUUUUUGGGGUUCCGUUGUGCCUAGGGAGAGGACUCCUUACUUUUGAAAGAUUUUUUCUUAGAAAAGUAUUUUCUUCUUCGAAAGGGAGGUCGCCCACUUCUUCUUCUGACGGGGGAUUCUACCUCAAUUUUGGCCAUUGGAGUGGUAGAGGCCUGUUUUUGUUCUAUCAUUUGCACAACGUUUGUGACAUGCUGGCAGUAGGUUGGGAAUGCCUGGUCUCACUGGAGUCGUUCCUCUUUUGAAAAAUU
This 336-nucleotide long non-coding RNA is filed under the name Olea europaea (common olive). RNAcentral describes it as "long non-coding RNA (OEUR_LNC003504)". The record is from RNAcentral. Lineage: Eukaryota; Viridiplantae; Streptophyta; Magnoliopsida; Lamiales; Oleaceae.